AUUGUACGCUGGCGGCAGGCUUAACACAUGCAAGUCGAGCGGGGUGAUGGUGCUUGCACUAUCACUUAGCGGCGGACGGGUGAGUAAUGCUUAGGAAUCUGCCUAUUAGUGGGGGACAACAUCUCGAAAGGAAUGCUAAUACCGCAUACGUCCUACGGGAGAAAGCAGGGGAUCUUCGGACCUUGCGCUAAUAGAUGAGCCUAAGUUGGAUUAGCUAGUUGGUGGGGUAAAGGCCUACCAAGGCGACGAUCUGUAGCGGGUCUGAGAGGAUGAUCCGCCACACUGGGACUGAGACACGGCCCAGACUCCUACGGGAGGCAGCAGUGGGGAAUAUUGGACAAUGGGGGGAACCCUGAUCCAGCCAUGCCGCGUGUGUGAAGAAGGCCUUAUGGUUGUAAAGCACUUUAAGCGAGGAGGAGGCUCUUUUGGUUAAUACCCAAGAUGAGUGGACGUUACUCGCAGAAUAAGCACCGGCUAACUCUGUGCCAGCCGCCGCCGUAA
This 501-nucleotide ribosomal RNA is filed under the name uncultured bacterium. RNAcentral describes it as "partial 16S ribosomal RNA". It matches the Rfam family "Bacterial small subunit ribosomal RNA", at positions 30 to 523 of the family's 1533-position model. The record is from RNAcentral.